RNAcentral lists this long non-coding RNA (451 nucleotides) under Brassica napus (rape). RNAcentral describes it as "long non-coding RNA (BNAP_LNC005791)". Lineage: Eukaryota; Viridiplantae; Streptophyta; Magnoliopsida; Brassicales; Brassicaceae. The record is from RNAcentral.
GGGUUUAGAGUUGAUGAUUUGAGGUUUACGGUUUAGUGUUUAGAGUUGAUGUUUUAGGGUUUAGAUUUGAAGGUGUAGGGUUUAGGGUUUAGAGUUGAUGUUUUGUGGUUUAGGGUUUAGAGUUGAUGUUUUGGGGUUUAAGGUUUAGAGUUUAGAGUUGAUGUUUCAGGGUUUAGAUUUGAAGGUUUAGGGUUUAGAGUUGAUGAUUUCAGGGUUUAGGGUUUAGAGUUUAGAGUUGAUGUUUCAGGGUUUAAAUUUGAAGGUUUAGUAUUUAGAGUUGAUGUUUCGGUUUAGGGUUUAAAGUUGAUGUUUCAUAGUUUAGGUUUUAGAGUUGAUGAUUUAGUGUUUUGAGUUGAUGAUUUAGGGUUAAGAUUAGUUAGCCAUAUAUUUUUUUUUUUGUCAAAGUUAAUCAAUGGGUUAUAAAUGUCUUUUACCAUUUAUUAAAAAUAAC